UAUCGUUGGGUAGACCAUGGU
This 21-nucleotide non-coding RNA is filed under the name Caenorhabditis elegans. Lineage: Eukaryota; Metazoa; Nematoda; Chromadorea; Rhabditida; Rhabditidae. The record is from RNAcentral.